Molecule: ribosomal RNA, 787 nt
Filed under: Serratia fonticola
Lineage: Bacteria; Pseudomonadati; Pseudomonadota; Gammaproteobacteria; Enterobacterales; Yersiniaceae
Description: partial 23S ribosomal RNA
Rfam family: Bacterial large subunit ribosomal RNA
Source: RNAcentral
AAACCCGGUGAUCUAGCCAUGGGCAGGUUGAAGGUUGGGUAACACUAACUGGAGGACCGAACCGACUAAUGUUGAAAAAUUAGCGGAUGACUUGUGGCUGGGGGUGAAAGGCCAAUCAAACCGGGAGAUAGCUGGUUCUCCCCGAAAGCUAUUUAGGUAGCGCCUCGUGAACUCAUCUUCGGGGGUAGAGCACUGUUUCGGCUAGGGGGCCAUCCCGGCUUACCAAACCGAUGCAAACUCCGAAUACCGAAGAAUGUUAUCACGGGAGACACACGGCGGGUGCUAACGUCCGUCGUGAAGAGGGAAACAACCCAGACCGCCAGCUAAGGUCCCAAAGUCAUGGUUAAGUGGGAAACGAUGUGGGAAGGCAUAGACAGCCAGGAUGUUGGCUUAGAAGCAGCCAUCAUUUAAAGAAAGCGUAAUAGCUCACUGGUCGAGUCGGCCUGCGCGGAAGAUGUAACGGGGCUAAACCAUGCACCGAAGCUGCGGCAGCGACGCUUAGGCGUUGUUGGGUAGGGGAGCGUUCUGUAAGCCGUUGAAGGUGAACUGUGAGGUUUGCUGGAGGUAUCAGAAGUGCGAAUGCUGACAUAAGUAACGAUAAAGCGGGUGAAAAACCCGCUCGCCGGAAGACCAAGGGUUCCUGUCCAACGUUAAUCGGGGCAGGGUGAGUCGACCCCUAAGGCGAGGCCGAAAGGCGUAGUCGAUGGGAAACAGGUUAAUAUUCCUGUACUCGGUGUUACUGCGAAGGGGGGACGGAGAAGGCUAGGCUAGCCGGGCGACGGUUGUC